This 350-nucleotide ribosomal RNA is filed under the name Gracilipsodes similis. RNAcentral describes it as "partial 16S ribosomal RNA". The record is from RNAcentral. Lineage: Eukaryota; Metazoa; Arthropoda; Insecta; Trichoptera; Leptoceridae.
AUAAUAAUUAGUUUUUUGAUUGAAAACUAGAAUGAAAGAUUGGAUAAGAAAUAAGCUUUUUUUUUUUAAUUUUAUUGAAUUUAAAUUUUUAGUUAAAAAGCUAAAAUAAUUUAAAAAGACGAGAAGACCCUAUAGAUUUUUAUUUAAUUUAAUAAAUUUAUUUAAUUAAAUUAAAUUUUAUUGGGGGGAUAGAAAAAUUUAAAAAACUUUUUAAUAUUUAAACAUUAAUGUAUGAAUUAUGAAAAAAAUUUUAAACUAUAAACUAAAGUUAUUUUAUAAAUAAAGAUUAAAAUACCUUAGGGAUAACAGCGUAAUUUUAAUUUUAAGAUCAUAUUUAAAUUAAAGAUUGC